Molecule: long non-coding RNA, 364 nt
Organism: Macadamia integrifolia
Lineage: Eukaryota; Viridiplantae; Streptophyta; Magnoliopsida; Proteales; Proteaceae
Exons: 2
Source: RefSeq, a predicted model, not a curated record
UUUUGGAGGAGCUUAACAUUUUAUUAAGUCGCAGUUGCCAUGAAUAUUGGGAGGAACGGCUUCGGACAGAAAGAAGAGAGAGGAUGAAGCAGGCAAAGGAGCACUGGGAAUCCAAAUGUCGAGCUUUCGUUGGAGUCUGAUUGAAAUUUGAGAUGGCAAAUACAACCUUAGUUCUGUAUUGCAACUGUCUUUCUUAGCAUCUCUCAGUCUCCAGGAGGAGUCAUGAGCAGAGUUAAGUUCUUAGGAUUCAUUUGAAAAUUUCUGCCUCCUUUCUUCUUCUGCCCUUUUUUUGUCCCUUAAUGUAGUUUGUUCAUAUUUUUUUCUGGAUUUUGUCUUUGUAUAUAUAAUUCUCCAUGUUUGGCUC